This 758-nucleotide ribosomal RNA is filed under the name Campylobacter jejuni. RNAcentral's name for it is "bacterial SSU rRNA". It matches the Rfam family "Bacterial small subunit ribosomal RNA", at positions 775 to 1533 of the family's 1533-position model. The record is from RNAcentral. Lineage: Bacteria; Pseudomonadati; Campylobacterota; Epsilonproteobacteria; Campylobacterales; Campylobacteraceae.
GGAUUAGAUACCCUGGUAGUCCACGCCCUAAACGAUGUACACUAGUUGUUGGGGUGCUAGUCAUCUCAGUAAUGCAGCUAACGCAUUAAGUGUACCGCCUGGGGAGUACGGUCGCAAGAUUAAAACUCAAAGGAAUAGACGGGGACCCGCACAAGCGGUGGAGCAUGUGGUUUAAUUCGAAGAUACGCGAAGAACCUUACCUGGGCUUGAUAUCCUAAGAACCUUUUAGAGAUAAGAGGGUGCUAGCUUGCUAGAACUUAGAGACAGGUGCUGCACGGCUGUCGUCAGCUCGUGUCGUGAGAUGUUGGGUUAAGUCCCGCAACGAGCGCAACCCACGUAUUUAGUUGCUAACGGUUCGGCCGAGCACUCUAAAUAGACUGCCUUCGUAAGGAGGAGGAAGGUGUGGACGACGUCAAGUCAUCAUGGCCCUUAUGCCCAGGGCGACACACGUGCUACAAUGGCAUAUACAAUGAGACGCAAUACCGCGAGGUGGAGCAAAUCUAUAAAAUAUGUCCCAGUUCGGAUUGUUCUCUGCAACUCGAGAGCAUGAAGCCGGAAUCGCUAGUAAUCGUAGAUCAGCCAUGCUACGGUGAAUACGUUCCCGGGUCUUGUACUCACCGCCCGUCACACCAUGGGAGUUGAUUUCACUCGAAGCCGGAAUACUAAACUAGUUACCGUCCACAGUGGAAUCAGCGACUGGGGUGAAGUCGUAACAAGGUAACCGUAGGAGAACCUGCGGUUGGAUCACCUCCUUUCUA